CUAACACCAUUUCUCCCCAAUUCGAUCAAGAAGCCCUAGAUCGAUUUCCUUUAAAACCCUCCCCCAAAUAUAUUCCUCCACACUUAGCGAUUGGCAGAUCUUCAUCACCUUCACAGUAUACCAAUAGAAGGUGUGAGCCCUACUCCCCGAAAUCAUAAUUCUAACAUUGUCUCCACACCCUACCCAACGUGUGAAAGGGAUUUUGAAGAAGCCCACUUGGAGGGACCACAAAGAGGUACAAUUGCUAUUUCUGGUCUAUUGUUUUUCCCUUUCCCCGCACGUGGUAUGGUUUUUCACCUUGGUUAGUAAAAUUGGGCAAAGAUUGGCAUAUGCGUAAAAAUUGAUAGCUCUCAUGCAAAGAAAAAGAAAUUGAAAUUUAUGUUCAUUUGUUGAUUUUCAUAGUUGAGAAAAUCAGAAUCUGUGUAUGGCGUUGUAGUUUAAUGGAAAGUUGUUUCAUUUUUGUUCACAGAUUCUGUAUUUUGAAAGUUAAAACAAUUGUGUUGAAACUGAAAUUCCUUUGGUUCAUUUAUUGAUUUUCAUUGUUAAGAAACAUAGAAUCUGUAGCCAUAUUUGAUGGAUGUAAUGUUUGAAGAUGAUACAUAUCUAAAAUUUAGAGAACUACUGUUGAUCUUUUUCAAUUGCUUGUUUGUGUGAUAGAUAUGGAGGAUGACACAGACUUCAAUGAUUUGGAGAACGCCAUAUCGUCUGGAGAUAAUGAUAUGCUGUUUGAGAAAAAUGUGCGAUUGAAUUGAGUUAGGUUGCGAUGGGGUGGUGAUCGGGUGGGAAGAAGGGGAUAAUGCCAUAGUAGCACAUGACGAAUACCAGGAGGUCCAUGAUUUGGAAUAUUCAUCAUCUGAAGAAUUGUUGUUUGAUAUUUCAUCUGAUGAUGAGGUUGAGUUUCGAUUGCCCGAGUUUAUCUGUAAACACACGAGUCUAUACUAAGCAAAUCCAGCUUCAAGAAUGUGCUAGUGACUCCACAGAUGCCUAUGUGAAUGAGCCUUCAAGAGUUGGAGCAAGAAGAGCAACUUCUACGUGGCGUGCUGGAACAUAUAGAAGUAGAAGGUCGUAGCUGGGUUAUGUGUAGUAGUUGAUGUGAAUAUAUGCUCGUCGAUAUUGGUAUUGAUACCAGGAGACAUGUAAUUAAAAAAUAGUUUUAGUGUUAGCAUUAGCUGCUAGUAUUGAAGGCAGCAUGAACAGGUUAUUGCUGUUGAUUUUUUGUUGUUUUGUCAAGUUAGCUUUAUAUCUUGUUGAUGGUGUUUGAAUUCUAUUUGAUGUGUAGGUUACAAUGUAAAAAAUGAAUAUGGUAUUGAUGCUGAUUUUUGUG
Molecule: long non-coding RNA, 1324 nt
Filed under: Olea europaea (common olive)
Lineage: Eukaryota; Viridiplantae; Streptophyta; Magnoliopsida; Lamiales; Oleaceae
Description: long non-coding RNA (OEUR_LNC014084)
Source: RNAcentral